UGUAACGUAAUAAAAGCUUUAGGUGUUUAAAGCGUAAACUAACGCUCACACCUGUAAUGUAAUGAAAGAAUAAAAUAAUAUGUUAGUAGAAUUUAAAUUCAGAGAGGUGAGGACUCCUACCUUAGAAAACUUAUGAGAUUUUUCUCUCUGGUCGAACACAGUGAACUCUCUUGAGCCGAAUUUUUAUCGGAAGCUCCCUCUCAAAUAUUUGUGUGUAAGUGAAAUCAUCUUCCUAAAAAAUAGUCUGUUUUUAAUAAAUAGUGAUAUUUCCGUCCAGAGUCUUUAUUUUAUAAGUUUUGUGUGUAAGUGACCUCAUUGUCUCGAAAAAUAAUCCAUUCUUUUUAAAAAUGAAAUGAAAUAAUUAUUUUCUUAUUAUCAUGAAUUUUAGGCACGAUAAAUUUUAU
Molecule: long non-coding RNA, 404 nt
Filed under: Amborella trichopoda
Lineage: Eukaryota; Viridiplantae; Streptophyta; Magnoliopsida; Amborellales; Amborellaceae
Description: long non-coding RNA (ATRI_LNC001123)
Source: RNAcentral